Molecule: long non-coding RNA, 496 nt
Filed under: Cyanistes caeruleus (blue tit)
Lineage: Eukaryota; Metazoa; Chordata; Aves; Passeriformes; Paridae
Description: lncRNA (ENSCCEG00000018366.1)
Source: RNAcentral
CAGCUGGACUGAGGGUAGUGUCAGCAGCCUCAGAGUCUGGGGAAAGCCACUGGGGAGAUGGAGACGGGGCCCUUCACAACACUGUGAUUAGCUGGGAUUUUAAGAGUUCAGUGAAUGAGUAGGAGAUGAUUAUCUCCACACCUCCCAGAACAAAAAUUUUCCCAUGACUGCGUAAUUUUUAUUAACAACUGAGCUACACAGAUUGAAAUCCUUAUGGGAAGAAAGUUGAGUGUCUUCUCCAGCUGUGGAAGACUCCCCAGAUUUGCUUCACAGUGUACCUUUGAACCGCGGAGAGAUGAAGCAUCCACAGCCAAGAGAGACAUUUCUCCACCCCUACAGCCAAGACAAUGAAAGCCCACUUAUUAUUCCACAUGAAAGGUCCCGUUGCAGCGUGACACGUUUUUCUCAAACCCAUUUCAGUUCUUCCAGAUCACCUCAGAAUCUUCUGUUGUCCCACCUUGUCCCACCACCAAUUUUAAAUUAAAAUAUUUUAUUU